GUUUAGGGUUUAAAACCCUAAUGUUGACUGAAGGAAAGAGCUCAGUUUAGGGUUUAAAACCCUAAUGCUGACUAAAUGAAAAGAGUUCAGUUUAGGGUUUAAAACCCUAAUGCUGACUGAAUGAAAGAGUUCAGUUUAGGGUUUAAAACCCUAAUGCUGACUAAAAGAGAAAGUUCAGCUUAGGGUUUAAAACCCUAAUGCUGCCUAAAUGGAAAAGUUCAGUUUAGGGUUUAAAACCCUAAUGCUGACUGAAUGGAAAAGUUUAGUUUAGGGUUUAAAACCAUAAUGCUGACU
Molecule: long non-coding RNA, 294 nt
Filed under: Nicotiana tabacum (common tobacco)
Lineage: Eukaryota; Viridiplantae; Streptophyta; Magnoliopsida; Solanales; Solanaceae
Description: long non-coding RNA (NTAB_LNC016042)
Source: RNAcentral